AUUGAACGCUGGCGGCAUGCUUUACACAUGCAAGUCGAACGGCAGCGCGGGCUUCGGCCUGGCGGCGAGUGGCGAACGGGUGAGUUAUGCAUCGGAACGUGCCCAGUAGUGGGGGAUAGCCCGGCGAAAGCCGGAUUAAUACCGCAUACGACCUGAGGGUGAAAGCGGGGGACCGAAAGGCCUCGCGCUAUUGGAGCGGCCGAUGUCGGAUUAGCUAGUUGGUGGGGUAAAGGCUUACCAAGGCGACGAUCCGUAGCUGGUCUGAGAGGACGACCAGCCACACUGGGACUGAGACACGGCCCAGACUCCUACGGGAGGCAGCAGUGGGGAAUUUUGGACAAUGGGGGCAACCCUGAUCCAGCCAUGCCGCGUGCGGGAAGAAGGCCUUCGGGUUGUAAACCGCUUUUGUUCGGGAAGAAAUCCUCUGGGCUAAUACCCCGGGGGGAUGACGGUACCGGAAGAAUAAGCACCGGCUAACUACGUG
This 484-nucleotide ribosomal RNA is filed under the name uncultured bacterium. RNAcentral's name for it is "partial 16S ribosomal RNA". It matches the Rfam family "Bacterial small subunit ribosomal RNA", at positions 28 to 507 of the family's 1533-position model. The record is from RNAcentral.